GCUGGGUGUGGUAGUGCACACCUGUAGUCCCAGCUACUUGGGAGGCUGAGAUAGGAGGAUAGCUUGAGCCCAGGAGGUGGAGGUUGCAGUGAGCUGAGAUGGUGUCACUGUACUCCAGCCUGGGUGACAGAGCAAGACCCUGUCUCAA
Molecule: signal recognition particle RNA, 148 nt
Filed under: Chlorocebus sabaeus (green monkey)
Lineage: Eukaryota; Metazoa; Chordata; Mammalia; Primates; Cercopithecidae
Description: Metazoan signal recognition particle RNA
Rfam family: Metazoan signal recognition particle RNA
About the family: The signal recognition particle (SRP) is a universally conserved ribonucleoprotein. It is involved in the co-translational targeting of proteins to membranes. The eukaryotic SRP consists of a 300-nucleotide 7S RNA and six proteins: SRPs 72, 68, 54, 19, 14, and 9.
Source: Rfam by way of RNAcentral